Molecule: non-coding RNA, 530 nt
Organism: Ciona intestinalis (vase tunicate)
Lineage: Eukaryota; Metazoa; Chordata; Ascidiacea; Phlebobranchia; Cionidae
Source: RefSeq, a predicted model, not a curated record
ACAACCGUGACGUCAUUCUCGUAAUGGUUCUUUGUUAUUUCGUUUCCGGAUCAGAGUAAAACGGGUUCACACUUUCAAAGAUAAAACGCCUGUUUAUUAGGUAAACUCUUAGCGUAAAAGUAGUUUUAGGUAGCGACACAAUUGGCAUAGUGAUACUAUAUAUAUAAACUGACUUAUUCGUAACAGGCCCAAAUUGAUUCAGAACUUUUGAGUCUUUCAGUCAGUUCGUAUAUAAACAUGCUUAUAUAGGGACUUUGCUUUUAUCGGAUUUUAAAGAAUAUGUGCAGUGAAGAAACGAGGUUCUGCCCUCACCGAACUAAAAAUGCUCCCCGAAACACGUACGCAACUUAUGUACAAUAGUUUCCAGAUGACGUAUUGAUGUCGCUGUACUAUUUGGGAAACUUUUAUCUAUUCUCAAAUUGAUUAUUUCCAAGAAUUUGUAUUGAUUUUAUUAAAAAAGUUUGUGUUCAUAAAUAAAUCUAACUUCAAGUUUAUAAAUUAAAAAUAAUAAUCGGUGCUAAAUUUUUCAC